GUUUUAAUAGUUUAAUAAAAACAUUGGUCUUGUAAACCUAAAUUAAGAUAUUUCUUUUAAAACU
This 64-nucleotide transfer RNA is filed under the name Geron pallipilosus. RNAcentral describes it as "tRNA-Thr". It matches the Rfam family "tRNA". From Rfam's summary of the family: Transfer RNA (tRNA) molecules are approximately 80 nucleotides in length. Lineage: Eukaryota; Metazoa; Arthropoda; Insecta; Diptera; Bombyliidae. The record is from RNAcentral.